GACGAACGCUGGCGGCGUGCUUAACACAUGCAAGUCGAACGGAAAGGCCCUGCUUUUGUGGGGUGCUCGAGUGGCGAACGGGUGAGUAACACGUGAGUAACCUGCCCUUGACUUUGGGAUAACUUCAGGAAACUGGGGCUAAUACCGGAUAGGAGCUCCUGCUGCAUGGUGGGGGUUGGAAAGUUUCGGCGGUUGAGGAUGGACUCGCGGCUUAUCAGCUUGUUGGUGGGGUAGUGGCUUACCAAGGCUUUGACGGGUAGCCGGCCUGAGAGGGUGACCGGCCACAUUGGGACUGAGAUACGGCCCAGACUCCUACGGGAGGCAGCAGUGGGGAAUAUUGCACAAUGGGCGGGAGCCUGAUGCAGCAACGCCGCGUGCGGGAUGACGGCCUUCGGGUUGUAAACCGCUUUCGCCUGUGACGAAGCGUGAGUGACGGUAAUGGGUAAAGAAGCACCGGCUAACUACGUG
RNAcentral lists this ribosomal RNA (468 nucleotides) under uncultured bacterium. RNAcentral describes it as "partial 16S ribosomal RNA". It matches the Rfam family "Bacterial small subunit ribosomal RNA", at positions 28 to 507 of the family's 1533-position model. The record is from RNAcentral.